GUUUUAGGGAGCUUAGCCUAGAUCCCUUUUUAUUUUAGGGGGUUUAGGUUGGGGUGCCAAAGGAGAGGCGGCAGCGCAUGGAAAGCAGAAGGCAGGUGGAUGGGGUUAGGCCCGAGUUCUCGACGACGGCACGGGAUGGAGAGAAGGCGCCGCGGAGGCGGGGGAGGGAGUGCGCGCAGCGGCGGCAGCGGCAAGGGACCAGUAGGAGCCGCGUAGGUACGACAGAGUCGGGGCAGCCGUUAAAACCGGUAACCGAAGACUCCACGCAGUCGGGAUCCUCCCCUCUUUUUAAAGUCUUCGGUUCUUUCCAGAGUGCUCGUCUCAUCCCCUCCUGAAACAAUCACCUGAGUCUCGUAACGUGCACGAACAUCUACCUCUCCUAUUGGUGGUUGGGCAAGAUAUGGAGACCUUAGGGUCAUUGACACGGUAGUGGAGACGGAAGUUGGUGGUACCUACUUUCGAAAUGUUCCGAAGGUCUACGCGUCUUACAAAACGACCUCUCCCUUGACUCUUCUUGGGGAGAGGGCGGAGUAGUUUCAUGACAACGAGGAUAAACGCCCGUCAAAGUGGGGUCAUGACCUAGACAGCCCGGAGACGCAAGCGGGGGCCGACAUUCUAAGAGAAGUCAAGGCUUGGGACUCGUUAUGUUGCCACGGUUAGGAAUGUAAAGAGUCUGCGGUUCGUGACCUUCAAGAAGUCGCUACCAAAUACCUAGUGUGGUACUUCCGAAGCUUGGAUGAAAAUUACUAAAAGGUUCUCUACAACCUGGUUGCACCACGGGACUAGGUCAACUCUCGUACGAACCUAAGAGGCUACUACAGGGACAACCUUUGUUAAACUGACCGUAGUCAGGAUAACGUCGAUGUCUACUCGAGCGAUUCGUCUGACUUACCACCUGGCUAAAAUACUUACUGCUGACCUUCCUGUAACGACUGUUGCGUCCACGACGAUUUUGAGUAUGUGUCCGACCUGGCGGACACGUUAGUAGCUAAAGUCAACUAGUUAGUCGGUCGGUCGUUCAACCAUGUUGAAGUCAAGUGGUUAGUCGGGAGGUCGUUUAUCAAUGUUGAGUUGGAUAUCUUAGUAGACAUCAACGACGUGGGAGUGGGAGACGGUCGAGGUUGUGGAGGUUCUGUGCGUACUCCACCUGAGGACUUGAAGUACUCGCAAAGCACCUGCGACAGUUAGACGAACCACCGUCACUUUUUCGAUGAGGUUUCCCGCACGAUUUCGAUUACUUCCGUCUAUUAAACUGGUAAAUAGUACAUUUUUCAGUAGAAGUCUUCAUGUCUUGACGGGCUAUAUCUGGUCUUAAUAGACUUCCAAGUAGUCUUUCCAACCUCCGGAGUUUUCUCCUCAACGGUAGAUAUCUGGAAUUUCCCUUAAAACUAGAGUGACUUCGUAACGCAGAGGUCAAUCUUGAAGUUUUCGCCGAGGUACUUGUCGAACUCCACGUUUCUUCAGACGUCGACUCUUAGCUCCUCGUUCCCUUCACGGAAGUCUAAUACUAGCUCGUCGUUACGUUAGGACGACGUCUGUUCCGCGACCUACGAAGUUGGAGCCGUCUUCCUGGUUUCAAUAGAAGACUGGGGGGUCUUAGAAGAUGGCACUUCCUACAAGGUUUGUUGUCAGUUUUACCUUGUUGGCUCGUUCGUCUUAGUCCACUAUUCCUUACUUCUAGAUUGGUACGAGCGGACUUCAACACUUGGGGUGAUCGGUACUUAAACUGACCAACGACGGUUUGAUCUUAGUUCAGCCAGAAAAUAGAAAGACCCUCUUUCCCCACUCGUAAAGAUACUUGAUCCAAAUCGACAUGUCAUGGGUGUCAGUGCCUUCGCUACUAAGGCACGGUACACCUACUAGAUCCAAAGGUCUUCCGUCGCGUUCGUUUAAGUGUGACUACAUGACAAAACUCCACCAAACUGAAUAACGAAAGCGGCAACAAUCCUUGUGUUAUCGUAGAAUCCGUAAACUAAUACGUGAUUAGGUUCAUAAACAAUAUAAGAGACGGUGGAGUACACAAACCUCGUACAAAAUACCAUGGUUUGUACCAGUCCGAUAUAAAUGGAAAUAAAGAAUGAAAGUCAAUUAUCAAUGGGACACAGGCGUUCCCUCGUUUGGAAAAUUCGGAAGCCGGGAAUGUUACAAAUGGCACACCGAAACAUAAAUACACUGACGCACUUCUUGCGUCACAACCUACGAGAAAACUUACUGUGGCCUAAGGGACAUCAUCGAGCAGUUUAUUUACUUGAUUUUAAAAUGUC
This 2264-nucleotide ribosomal RNA is filed under the name Triticum aestivum (bread wheat). RNAcentral's name for it is "partial small subunit ribosomal RNA". Lineage: Eukaryota; Viridiplantae; Streptophyta; Magnoliopsida; Poales; Poaceae. The record is from RNAcentral.